AAGGAUCAUUACCCGAGUGCGGGGCCCUCUGGGUCCAACCUCCCAUCCGUGUCUAUCUGUACCCUGUUGCUUCGGCGUGGCCACGGCCCGCCGGAGACUAACAUUUGAACGCUGUCUGAAGUUUGCAGUCUGAGUUUUUAGUUAAACAAUCGUUAAAACUUUCAACAACGGAUCUCUUGGUUCCGGCAUCGAUGAAGAACGCAGCGAAAUGCGAUAAUUAAUGUGAAUUGCAGAAUUCAGUGAAUCAUCGAGUCUUUGAACGCACAUUGCGCCCCCUGGUAUUCCGGGGGGCAUGCCUGUCCGAGCGUCAUUGCUGCCCUCAAGCACGGCUUGUGUGUUGGGCUUCCGUCCCUGGCAACGGGGACGGGCCCAAAAGGCAGUGGCGGCACCAUGUCUGGUCCUCGAGCGUAUGGGGCUUUGUCACCCGCUCCCGUAGGUCCAGCUGGCAGCUAGCCUCGCAACCAAUCUUUUUAACCAGGUUGACCUCGGAUCAGGUAGGGAUACCCGCUGAACUUAAGCAUAUCAAUAAGCGGAGGAA
RNAcentral lists this unclassified non-coding RNA (538 nucleotides) under Aspergillus montevidensis. Its description in RNAcentral is "sequence contains ITS1, 5.8S rRNA gene, ITS2". The stretch from base 157 to 310 matches the Rfam family "5.8S ribosomal RNA". The record is from RNAcentral. Lineage: Eukaryota; Fungi; Ascomycota; Eurotiomycetes; Eurotiales; Aspergillaceae.